RNAcentral lists this ribosomal RNA (497 nucleotides) under uncultured soil bacterium. Its description in RNAcentral is "bacterial SSU rRNA". It matches the Rfam family "Bacterial small subunit ribosomal RNA", at positions 26 to 540 of the family's 1533-position model. The record is from RNAcentral.
AGGACGAACGCUGGCGGCGUGCUUAACACAUGCAAGUCGAACGGUGACGGAGGAGCUUGCUCCUUCUGAUCAGUGGCGAACGGGUGAGUAACACGUGAGCAAUCUGCCCUUGACUCUGGGAUAACUGCGGGAACUGUAGCUAAUACCGGAUACGACCCUCGGAGGCAUCUCCUGGGGGUGGAAAGAAUUUUGGCAAGGAUGAGCUCGCGGCCUAUCAGCUAGUUGGUGAGGUAAUGGCUCACCAAGGCGACGACGGGUAGCCGGCCUGAGAGGGUGACCGGCACACUGGGACUGAGACACGGCCCAGACUCCUACGGGAGGCAGCAGUGGGGAAUAUUGCACAAUGGGCGAAAGCCUGAUGCAGCAACGCCGCGUGAGGGACGAAGGCCUUCGGUGUAAACCUCUUUAGUAGGAAGAAGCGAAAGUGACGUACCUGACAGAAAAGCACCGGACUAACUACGUAGCCACAGCCGACGGUAAUCGUGAGCGGCUGGACG